CGAACGAUGAACCACUUCGGUGGGGAUUAGUGGCGAACGGGUGAGUAACACGUGGGCAAUCUGCCCUUCACUCUGGGACAAGCCCUGGAAACGGGGUCUAAUACCGGAUAACACUCUCGCAGGCAUCUGUGAGGGUUAAAAGCUCCGGCGGUGAAGGAUGAGCCCGCGGCCUAUCAGCUUGUUGGUGAGGUAAUGGCUCACCAAGGCGACGACAGGUAGCCGGCCUGAGAGGGCGACCGGCCACACUGGGACUGAGACACGGCCCAGACUCCUACGGGAGGCAGCAGUGGGGAAUAUUGCACAAUGGGCGAAAGCCUGAUGCACCGACGCCGCGUGAGGGAUGACGGCCUUCGGGUUGUAAACCUCUUUCAGCAGGGAAGAAGCGAAAGUGACGGUACCUGCAGAAGAAGCGCCGGCUAACUACGUGCCAGCAGCCGCGGAAAUACGUAGGGCGCAAGCGUUGUCCGGAAUUAUUGGGCGUAAAGAGCUCGUAUGCGGCUUGUCACGUCGAUUGUGAAAGCCCGAGGCUUAACCUCGGGUCUGCAGUCGAUACGGGCUAGCUAGAGUGUGGUAGGGGAGAUCGGAAUUCCUGGUGUAGCGGUGAAAUGCGCAGAUAUCAGGAGGA
RNAcentral lists this ribosomal RNA (625 nucleotides) under Streptomyces sp. ANA310. Its description in RNAcentral is "bacterial SSU rRNA". It matches the Rfam family "Bacterial small subunit ribosomal RNA", at positions 63 to 705 of the family's 1533-position model. Lineage: Bacteria; Bacillati; Actinomycetota; Actinomycetes; Kitasatosporales; Streptomycetaceae. The record is from RNAcentral.